GUUGGGUAGGGGAGCGUUCUGUAAGCCUGCGAAGGUGGCCUGUGAGGGUUGCUGGAGGUAUCAGAAGUGCGAAUGCUGACAUAAGUAACGAUAAAGCGGGUGAAAAGCCCGCUCGCCGGAAGACCAAGGGUUCCUGUCCAACGUUAAUCGGGGCAGGGUGAGUCGACCCCUAAGGCGAGGCCGAAAGGCGUAGUCGAUGGGAAACGGGUUAAUAUUCCCGUACUUGGUGUUACUGCGAAGGGGGGACGGAGAAGGCUAUGUUGGCCGGGCGACGGUUGUCCCGGUUUAAGCGUGUAGGUGUGUGUUCCAGGUAAAUCCGGUUCACUUUAACACUGAGGCGUGACGACGAGGCACUACGGUGCUGAAGCAACAAAUGCCCUGCUUCCAGGAAAAGCCUCUAAGCAUCAGGUAACAUCAAAUCGUACCCCAAACCGACACAGGUGGUCAGGUAGAGAAUACCAAGGCGCUUGAGAGAACUCGGGUGAAGGAACUAGGCAAAAUGGUGCCGUAACUUCGGGAGAAGGCACGCUGACACGUAGGUGAAGUGAUUUACUCAUGGAGCUGAAGUCAGUCGAAGAUACCAGCUGGCUGCAACUGUUUAUUAAAAACACAGCACUGUGCAAACACGAAAGUGGACGUAUACGGUGUGACGCCUGCCCGGUGCCGGAAGGUUAAUUGAUGGGGUCAGCGCAAGCGAAGCUCCUGAUCGAAGCCCCGGUAAACGGCGGCCGUAACUAUAACGGUCCUAAGGUAGCGAAAUUCCUUGUCGGGUAAGUUCCGACCUGCACGAAUGGCGUAAUGAUGGCCAGGCUGUCUCCACCCGAGACUCAGUGAAAUUGAACUCGCUGUGAAGAUGCAGUGUACCCGCGGCAAGACGGAAAGACCCCGUGAACCUUUACUAUAGCUUGACACUGAACAUUGAGCCUUGAUGUGUAGGAUAGGUGGGAGGCUUUGAAGUGUGGACGCCAGUCUGCAUGGAGCCGACCUUGAAAUACCACCCUUUAAUGUUUGAUGUUCUAACGUGGACCCGUAAUCCGGGUUGCGGACAGUGUCUGGUGGGUAGUUUGACUGGGGCGGUCUCCUCCUAAAGAGUAACGGAGGAGCACGAAGGUUGGCUAAUCCUGGUCGGACAUCAGGAGGUUAGUGCAAUGGCAUAAGCCAGCUUGACUGCGAGCGUGACGGCGCGAGCAGGUGCGAAAGCAGGUCAUAGUGAUCCGGUGGUUCUGAAUGGAAGGGCCAUCGCUCAACGGAUAAAAGGUACUCCGGGGAUAACAGGCUGAUACCGCCCAAGAGUUCAUAUCGACGGCGGUGUUUGGCACCUCGAUGUCGGCUCAUCACAUCCUGGGGCUGAAGUAGGUCCCAAGGGUAUGGCUGUUCGCCAUUUAAAGUGGUACGCGAGCUGGGUUUAGAACGUCGUGAGACAGUUCGGUCCCUAUCUGCCGUGGGCGCUGGAGAACUGAGGGGGGCUGCUCCUAGUACGAGAGGACCGGAGUGGACGCAUCACUGGUGUUCGGGUUGUCAUGCCAAUGGCACUGCCCGGUAGCUAAAUGCGGAAGAGAUAAGUGCUGAAAGCAUCUAAGCACGAAACUUGCCCCGAGAUGAGUUCUCCCUGAGACUUAGAGUCUCCUGAAGGAACGUUGAAGACGACGACGUUGAUAGGCCGGGUGUGUAAGCGCAGCGAUGCGUUGAGCUAACCGGUACUAAUGAACCGUGAGGCUUAACCUUACAACGCCGAAG
Molecule: ribosomal RNA, 1737 nt
Filed under: Salmonella enterica
Lineage: Bacteria; Pseudomonadati; Pseudomonadota; Gammaproteobacteria; Enterobacterales; Enterobacteriaceae
Also listed under: 1 other name
Description: bacterial LSU rRNA
Rfam family: Bacterial large subunit ribosomal RNA
Source: RNAcentral